RNAcentral lists this ribosomal RNA (744 nucleotides) under Neisseria bacilliformis. Its description in RNAcentral is "bacterial SSU rRNA". It matches the Rfam family "Bacterial small subunit ribosomal RNA", at positions 55 to 788 of the family's 1533-position model. Lineage: Bacteria; Pseudomonadati; Pseudomonadota; Betaproteobacteria; Neisseriales; Neisseriaceae. The record is from RNAcentral.
AUGCAAGUCGGACGGCAGCACAGAGAAGCUUGCUUCUUGGGUGGCGAGUGGCGAACGGGUGAGUAACGCAUCGGAACGUACCGAGUAAUGGGGGAUAACUGUCCGAAAGGACAGCUAAUACCGCAUACGCCCUGAGGGGGAAAGCGGGGGAUCUUAGGACCUCGCGUUAUUCGAGCGGCCGAUGUCUGAUUAGCUGGUUGGCGGGGUAAAGGCCCACCAAGGCGACGAUCAGUAGCGGGUCUGAGAGGAUGAUCCGCCACACUGGGACUGAGACACGGCCCAGACUCCUACGGGAGGCAGCAGUGGGGAAUUUUGGACAAUGGGCGCAAGCCUGAUCCAGCCAUGCCGCGUGUCUGAAGAAGGCCUUCGGGUUGUAAAGGACUUUUGUCAGGGAAGAAAAGGGGCAUGUUAAUACCGUGCUCUGAUGACGGUACCUGAAGAAUAAGCACCGGCUAACUACGUGCCAGCAGCCGCGGUAAUACGUAGGGUGCGAGCGUUAAUCGGAAUUACUGGGCGUAAAGCGGGCGCAGACGGUUACUUAAGCGGGAUGUGAAAUCCCCGGGCUCAACCCGGGAACUGCGUUCCGAACUGGGUGGCUAGAGUGUGUCAGAGGGGGGUAGAAUUCCACGUGUAGCAGUGAAAUGCGUAGAGAUGUGGAGGAAUACCGAUGGCGAAGGCAGCCCCCUGGGAUAACACUGACGUUCAUGCCCGAAAGCGUGGGUAGCAAACAGGAUUAGAUACCCU